GUUAUUUUAGUAUAAUAAGUACGUUUGUUUUAAGAUCAAUUGGUAGAUAAGUAACU
RNAcentral lists this transfer RNA (56 nucleotides) under Enterobius vermicularis (human pinworm). Its description in RNAcentral is "tRNA-Leu". Lineage: Eukaryota; Metazoa; Nematoda; Chromadorea; Rhabditida; Oxyuridae. The record is from RNAcentral.